CAGCCGCCGCGGUAAGAUAGAGGAUGCAAGUGUUAUCCGGAAUGAUUGGGCGUAAAGCGUCUGUAGGUGGCUUUUCAAGUCCGCUGCCAAUCCCAGGGCUCAACCCUAGAUAGGUCGUGGAAACUACCAAGCUAGAGUAUGGUAGGGGUAGAGGGAAUUUCCAGUGGAGCAGUGAAAUGCAUUGAUAUCGGAAAGAACACUAAUGGUGAAAGCACUCUACUGGGCCGACACUGACACUGAGAGACGAAAGUUAGGGGAGCAAAUGGGAUUAGAUACCCCUGUAGUCCCUGUCUCUUAUACA
This 301-nucleotide ribosomal RNA is filed under the name uncultured bacterium. RNAcentral's name for it is "partial 16S ribosomal RNA". It matches the Rfam family "Bacterial small subunit ribosomal RNA", at positions 509 to 809 of the family's 1533-position model. The record is from RNAcentral.